GGUCCCGUAGCUCAACAGGACAGAGCACCUGCCUUCUAAGCAGGGGGUUGGAGGUUCGAGCCCUCCCGGGAUCG
RNAcentral lists this transfer RNA (74 nucleotides) under Rhodomicrobium vannielii ATCC 17100. It matches the Rfam family "tRNA". From Rfam's summary of the family: Transfer RNA (tRNA) molecules are approximately 80 nucleotides in length. Lineage: Bacteria; Pseudomonadati; Pseudomonadota; Alphaproteobacteria; Hyphomicrobiales; Hyphomicrobiaceae. The record is from Rfam by way of RNAcentral.